Molecule: non-coding RNA, 93 nt
Organism: Mycena albidolilacea
Lineage: Eukaryota; Fungi; Basidiomycota; Agaricomycetes; Agaricales; Mycenaceae
Source: the annotation of a GenBank genome assembly
GGGCUCUUGGCGCAGCUGGUAGCGCGUUCGCUUCGCAUGGGGUGCAACAUAAAUGCAUGCGAAAGGUCGUUGGUUCAAUUCCUACAGUGUCCA